This 258-nucleotide ribosomal RNA is filed under the name uncultured archaeon. RNAcentral's name for it is "partial 16S ribosomal RNA". It matches the Rfam family "Archaeal small subunit ribosomal RNA", at positions 748 to 998 of the family's 1478-position model. The record is from RNAcentral.
CAGCCGUAAACUAUGCGCGUUAGGUGUACUGGUGACCACGAGUCACCGGGGUGCCGAAGGGAAACCGUGAAACGUGCCGCCUGGGAAGUACGGUCGCAAGGCUGAAACUUAAAAGGAAAUUGGCGGGGGAGGCACCGCAACGGGAGGAGCGUGCGGUUUAAUUGGAUUCAACACCGGAAAACUACACCAAGGGCGGACUGUUACAUGAAAGACCAGGCUAAUGACCUUGCUUGAUUUUCUAGAGAGGUGGUGCAUGGC